AGUGAACGCUGGCGAUAGGCCUAACACAUGCAAGUCGAACGGCAGCACAGUAAGAGCUUGCUCUUACGGGUGGCGAGUGGCGGGCGGGUGAGGAAUACAUCGGAAUCUACUUUUUCGUGGGGGAUAACGUAGGGAAACUUACGCUAAUACCGCAUACGACCUACGGGUGAAAGCAGGGGAUCUUCGGACCUUUCGCGAUUGAAUGAGCCGAUGUCGGAUUUGCUAGUUGGCGGGGUAAAGGCCCACCAAGGCGACGAUCCGUAGCUGGUCUGAGAGGAUGAGCAGCCACACUGGAACUGAGACACGGUCCAGACUCCUACGGGAGGCAGCAGUGGGGAAUAUUGGACAAUGGGCGCAAGCCUGAUCCAGCCAUACCGCGUGGGUGAAGAAGGCCUUCGGGUUGUAAAGCCCUUUUGUUGGGAAAGAAAAGCAGCAGGUUAAUACCCCGCUGUUCUGACGGUACCCAAAGAAUAAGCACCGGCUAACUUCGUG
RNAcentral lists this ribosomal RNA (492 nucleotides) under uncultured bacterium. Its description in RNAcentral is "partial 16S ribosomal RNA". It matches the Rfam family "Bacterial small subunit ribosomal RNA", at positions 29 to 507 of the family's 1533-position model. The record is from RNAcentral.